RNAcentral lists this small RNA (108 nucleotides) under Olea europaea subsp. europaea. The record is from RNAcentral. Lineage: Eukaryota; Viridiplantae; Streptophyta; Magnoliopsida; Lamiales; Oleaceae.
AAAUUUAGAGAAACCUCGAAAUUAAUAAAAAUAGGCAAUCCUGAGCCAAAUCCUAUUUUUCCAAAACAAAGGUUCAAAAAGAAAAAAAUAUAGAUGAAGAGACUCGAU